RNAcentral lists this ribosomal RNA (1885 nucleotides) under human gut metagenome. RNAcentral's name for it is "bacterial LSU rRNA". It matches the Rfam family "Bacterial large subunit ribosomal RNA", at positions 3 to 1983 of the family's 2925-position model. The record is from RNAcentral.
UCAAGCUACAAAGAGCGCAAGGGGAAUGCCUUGGCACCAGGAGCCGACGAAGGACGCAGCGAUCUGCGAAAAGCCACGGUGAGGCGAAAGCAGCCAUCGACCCGUGGAUUUCCGAAUGGGGAAACCCGGCUGAGCAAUACUCAGUCAUCAUGCGGUGAAUCAAAUAGCCGUAUGAAGGGAACCGCCUGAACUGAAACAUCUAAGUAGGGCGAGGAAAAGAAAUCAACCGAGAUUCCGCUAGUAGUGGCGAGCGAACGCGGAAGAGGCCAAACCGAGAGUAGAAAUAUUCUCGGGGUUCGGACAGUGUAGUGUAUUGAUGACGGUUAGCAGAAGGACAUGGGACGGUCCACCAGAGAGAGUGAUAGUCUCGUACGCGAAAACCGAAGUCAGCCAACUGUAUCCAGAGUACCGCCGGACACGUGAAACCCGGUGGGAAUAUGGGGGGACCAUCCUCCAAGCCUAAAUACUCCCUGGUGACCGAUAGUGAACAGUACUGUGAAGGAAAGGUGAAAAGAACCCCGGGAGGGGAGUGAAAAGAACCUGAAACCUUGUGCUUACAAGCACACAAAGCACGUCAAAGUGUGAUGUGGUACCUUUUGUAGAAUGGUCCGGCGAGUGAAUGUAACCGGCGAGGUUAAGUGUUUAAGACACGGAGCCGCAGCGAAAGCGAGUCUGAAACGGGCGUUUCAGUCGGUUGUAUUCGACCCGAAACCGGGUGACCUAGCCAUGUCCAGGCUGAAGUUAAGGUAAAACUUGAUGGAGGGCCGAACCCACUCCCGUUGAAAUGGUAGGGGAUGAGGUGUGGCUAGCGGAGAAAUUCCAAUCGAACCCGGAGAUAGCUGGUUCUCUCCGAAAUAGCUUUAGGGCUAGCCUCGAUUUGACAUUACCGGAGGUAGAGCACUGAAUAGGCUAGGGGCCGAGAGGUUACUGAACCUUAUCAAACUCCGAAUGCCGGAUAAUGAUGAUCGGGAGUCAGACUGCGGGAGAUAAGUUUCGUAGUCAAAAGGGAAACAGCCCAGACCCACAGCUAAGGUCCCGAAGUACAGUUAAGUGGAAAAGGAUGUGGGGUUGCAUAGACAACCAGGAUGUUGGCUUAGAAGCAGCCACUCAUUAAAAGAGUGCGUAAUAGCUCACUGGUCGAGUGACCCUGCGCCGAAAAUUUAACGGGGCUAAACUGUACACCGAAGCUUGGGAUACAUUAAUGUAUGGUAGGAGAGCGUUGUAUGCGGGGUGAAGUCGCAGCGGAAGCGGCGGUGGACUGCAUAGAAGUGAGAAUGCCGGAAUGAGUAGCGAGAUUUAUGUGAGAAUCAUAAAGGCCGAAAGACUAAGGAUUCAGAAGGAAGGUUCGUCCGCUUCUGGUUAGCCGGGGGCUAAGGUGAGGCCGAAAGGCGUAGCCGAUGCACAUACGGUGGAGAUUCCGUAGCCGCCGAAACAUUUAAGUAAAGGGACACUUGAGAAGUUCAUAAGCCGGGCGUUGGUAGACCCGGUCGUAAGGGUGCGAAAUUAAGUAGCUGAAGUAUGAAUGGAACAAGGCGAGAAAAGCUUUACGGAAUAUGUUAGGCGCCCGUACCGCAAACCGACACAGGUAGUCAGGAAGAGAAUUCUAAGGCCAACGGGAGAAGGGUAGUUAAGGAACUCGGCAAAUUGACCCCGUAACUUCGGAAUAAGGGGUGCUCCUGAGAAGGAGCCGCAGUGAAAAGGUCCAGGCGACUGUUUAUCAAAAACACAGGUCUCUGCUAAAUCGAAAGAUGAAGUAUAGGGGCUGACACCUGCCCGGUGCUGGAAGGUUAAGAGGAGAGGUGCAAGCUUUGAAUCGAAGCCCCAGUAAACGGCGGCCGUAACUAUAACGGUCCUAAGGUAGCGAAAUUCCUUGUCGGGUAAGUUC